UACGUAGGGGGCUAGCGUUGUCCGGAAUUACUGGGCGUAAAGGGCGCGUAGGCGGCCCGCUAAGUCGGACGUGAAAUCCCCAGGCUCAACCUGGGAACUGCGUCCGAUACUGGCAGGCUUGAAUCCGGGAGAGGGAUGUGGAAUUCCAGGUGUAGCGGUGAAAUGCGUAGAUAUCUGGAGGAAUACCGGUGGCGAAGGCGGCAUCCUGGACCGACAUUGACGCUGAGGAGCGAAAGCUAGGGGAGCAAACGGG
RNAcentral lists this ribosomal RNA (253 nucleotides) under uncultured bacterium. RNAcentral describes it as "partial 16S ribosomal RNA". It matches the Rfam family "Bacterial small subunit ribosomal RNA", at positions 524 to 776 of the family's 1533-position model. The record is from RNAcentral.